GUCGUGAGAUGUUGGGUUAAGUCCCGCAACGAGCGCAACCCCUAUCCUAUGUUGCCAGCGCGUUAUGGCGGGGACUCAUAGGAGACUGCCGGUGCCAAACCGGAGGAAGGUGGGGAUGACGUCAAGUCAUCAUGCCCCUUACGUCCAGGGCUGCACACGUGCUACAAUGGCCGGUACAAAGGGUUGCUACUCCGCGAGGAGACGCCAAUCCCAAAAAGCCGGUCUCAGUUCGGAUCGUAGUCUGCAACUCGACUGCGUGAAGCUGGAGUCGCUAGUAAUCGCAGAUCAGCAUUGCUGCGGUGAAUACGUUCCCGGGCCUUGUACACACCGCCCGUCACACCACGAAAGUUGGUAACGCCCGAAGCCGGUGGCCUAACCCUUUUGGGAGGGAGCCGUCGAAGGUGGGAUCAGCGAUUGGGGUGAAGUCGUAACAAGGUAGCCGUACCGGAAGGUGCGGCUGGAUCACCUCCUUUCUAAGGAGCACUACUGCUCUCUCACUCUUGAAUAUCGCUACGGCGGCAUCCAGGGGCGGGCGAGAGCUCCCACGUCGAUCAUUGGUCAGUCAGCUCGUCGAUCAUUCCGACCCCGCCACCUCCGCAGGUGGCCCCUCCGUCCUCGGACUGAGGCAAUGCCUGCGGCUUCCGUGUCGGCACCACCGGAACCCUCGAGUCGGUGCCGCGUCACUGUUCCGUUGUGAGGGAGUGGACCGCGAUUCGUUCGCGGGCGCUCACCUCGAGGCCUACGCCGUCGAGUUCCUCUGCCGAUCGUCCCCUGGACGCCGGCAUUGAAGGAAUGCGGCAGGCCUCAACGCCCCUUGAGAACUGAAGAGCGAGCACGAGCAUCUAGAAAAUAGUGCAAGAAGUACUCCCAAGCUAUAAAGAGCCAACGGUGGAUGCCUUGGCGCCAGAUGCCGAUGAAGGACGUGGGUGGCUGCGAAAAGCCGCGGGGAGCUGUCUACCGAGCUUUGAUCCGCGGAUGU
Molecule: small RNA, 979 nt
Filed under: uncultured Acidimicrobium sp.
Lineage: Bacteria; Bacillati; Actinomycetota; Acidimicrobiia; Acidimicrobiales; Acidimicrobiaceae
Description: bacterial SSU rRNA
Rfam family: Bacterial small subunit ribosomal RNA (bases 1-473)
Source: RNAcentral